Poecilia latipinna (sailfin molly) is the source of this 912-nucleotide long non-coding RNA. RefSeq lists it as uncharacterized. The record is from RefSeq and is a predicted model, not a curated record. NCBI's taxonomy places the organism in Eukaryota, Metazoa, Chordata, Actinopteri, Cyprinodontiformes, Poeciliidae. The transcript has 5 exons.
CUGGAGUAAGGAGAAGGACUUCAUAAAAUCUGUGAUUAAAUUGCAAUUUAUUUCUUGUUAGUGCUUCCAGUAACUGUGAGCUCUCAACUUCCUGUGAUGUUGAUCAUUGGAAUAAUUAUUGGAAUCGCUCUCAUUAUCCUCCUGAUCUUGUGGUGGCGCUACAGACGGUCCAAACACUCAUGCUGCAUCAGUUUUUUCCAGUCUGAAAGCAGUGGUCAGACGCCGGCCACUGAUCAUGGAGUGAACCGGAUUGGACAUGCUUACAUGACUCUUCUACAUGUCACCACUUCUAUUUAUCACACUCUCCAUCCCCGUGGAGCCGCUGGACAUGAUGAAUCACAAGCUGUGAAAUGCACAAAGAGAGAAGAUAAAUAAUUGAAAAAGAAUUAAAGAAGAACUGAAAAUAUUCCUGAACAUCGAUUCAGUUUUUCUUCCAUAUUCCUGUUGUAAUUUUAACAGAGACCUCGUCAAUCAGCAGGCGCUUCUGUUUGAGUCAGUGUGAGACCAGGAAAUAACAGCAUCCCCAGUUUUUAUAGAAUGUUUCGUUUCAGAUAAAUUAAAGCACACAUACCAGUAGUUUUAAAUGGAACCUGUUUUCAGUACAUUUCAUUAUAUAAGUUGCAUUUCUCAGUUUGUAAACUGCAUGCUCUCUGUCUACAUAUAAAUAUAAGCCUCUACGUUCUGAUCAGACUCUGAUCAGCUUUUCCUGAUGUCCGAACCAUCUCUGCAGAUCUCCGCUGCCUUGUAGGCUGCAUGCUGCGCUGGUUUAUUCUGCACUGUAAUCAAAUGUAAUAACUCAAAUAUUUGUAUUUUAUGUUGCUGCUUUAAGAUUCUUGAGUUGAUUUAAUCUAGUCAUAUCUCUCCAACAUGCAUGUGUUAAAGAUCUGAAAUAUAAAAAAUGCUAUCAUGAUU